RNAcentral lists this transfer RNA (71 nucleotides) under Streptococcus salivarius. Its description in RNAcentral is "tRNA-Glu". It matches the Rfam family "tRNA". From Rfam's summary of the family: Transfer RNA (tRNA) molecules are approximately 80 nucleotides in length. Their secondary structure includes four short double-helical elements and three loops (D, anti-codon, and T loops). Further hydrogen bonds mediate the characteristic L-shaped molecular structure. tRNAs have two regions of fundamental functional importance: the anti-codon, which is responsible for specific mRNA codon recognition, and the 3' end, to which the tRNAs corresponding amino acid is attached (by aminoacyl-tRNA synthetases). tRNAs cope with the degeneracy of the genetic code in two manners: having more than one tRNA (with a specific anti-codon) for a particular amino acid; and 'wobble' base-pairing, i.e. permitting non-standard base-pairing at the 3rd anti-codon position. The record is from RNAcentral. RNAcentral also lists the same sequence under 14 other names. Lineage: Bacteria; Bacillati; Bacillota; Bacilli; Lactobacillales; Streptococcaceae.
GUCCGUUGGUCAAGGGGUUAAGACACCGCCUUUUCACGGCGGUAACACGGGUUCGAAUCCCGUACGGACUA